UGUUGAGAGAACGUGUCAAAUCGAUCAGCGUACAAGAGGAACCCAAUCAAGUUGAUGAUGCCAAUUCACUCCAGGAAACAAAUCAAGAUGAACUAAAUGGACUUGAAUUAAGACACCUUGAGGUCUGCAAUCUCUUUGAGGACAGCAGGCAGAAUAUGGACUGUCAUUUUGAUUUUAUGUCGGUUCCUCCACAACUUUGAUGACUAUAAUUUGUUAUGGCAUGUCGAAAUACGAUUUGUCUUUUUACAACCAUUAAUUGAAAUUGUUAUAAUGAUCAUAAAUAUUACAUCCAUAUGCAAUUGCUUAGCAAACUCGAUAAUUGGGGGAGAACGUAUUCAUACAUGCAUGUUCUGCAGAAUUAAAUUCUUUUUGAAAUCCAUUGUUUUCUAUAUAUUAAGAUAUGCAUUCAUAAUUUGAUCCCUCCCACCUUCCCCAUCAACGAGUUUGCUACGCCCCUGUUAUGGAAUAGACAGAAUAAAUUAGAACAUAAAUAGAAAAUUUUUAUCAUUAGUCCAUAGUAAAAUGUAGACUUACUCAAGUAAGUUAAUUAAGGUUCAAAUAUCGUCACGUCCAAUAUAAUGCCAAUGUCAUUAAUAGGAAAGUACAUACAGGUUAGAGAUAUUAUGGGGAAAAA
This is a long non-coding RNA of Xenia sp. Carnegie-2017, 634 nucleotides long. RefSeq lists it as uncharacterized. NCBI's taxonomy places the organism in Eukaryota, Metazoa, Cnidaria, Anthozoa, Malacalcyonacea, Xeniidae. The record is from RefSeq and is a predicted model, not a curated record. The transcript is spliced from 2 exons.